UACGUAGGGUGCAAGCGUUGUCCGGAAUUAUUGGGCGUAAAGGGCUCGUAGGCGGUCCAUCACGUCGGGGGUGAAAAGCUGGGGCUUAACCCCAGUCCGGCUUCCGAUACGGGUGGACUAGAGGUAGGCAGGGGAGACUGGAAUUCCUGGUGUAGCGGUGAAAUGCGCAGAUAUCAGGAGGAACACCGGUGGCGAAGGCGGGUCUCUGGGCCGAUACUGACGCUGAGGAGCGAAAGCAUGGGUAGCGAACAGG
RNAcentral lists this ribosomal RNA (253 nucleotides) under uncultured bacterium. Its description in RNAcentral is "partial 16S ribosomal RNA". It matches the Rfam family "Bacterial small subunit ribosomal RNA", at positions 524 to 776 of the family's 1533-position model. The record is from RNAcentral.